GGGCAACUGGUACGCUCUAUA
RNAcentral lists this ribosomal RNA (21 nucleotides) under Colletotrichum spaethianum. Its description in RNAcentral is "partial 18S ribosomal RNA". Lineage: Eukaryota; Fungi; Ascomycota; Sordariomycetes; Glomerellales; Glomerellaceae. The record is from RNAcentral.